AUUGAACGCUGGCGGCAGGCCUAACACAUGCAAGUCGAGCGGAUGAAGGGAGCUUGCUCCUGGAUUCAGCGGCGGACGGGUGAGUAAUGCCUAGGAAUCUGCCUGGUAGUGGGGGAUAACGUCCGGAAACGGGCGCUAAUACCGCAUACGUCCUGAGGGAGAAAGUGGGGGAUCUUCGGACCUCACGCUAUCAGAUGAGCCUAGGUCGGAUUAGCUAGUUGGUGGGGUAAAGGCCUACCAAGGCGACGAUCCGUAACUGGUCUGAGAGGAUGAUCAGUCACACUGGAACUGAGACACGGUCCAGACUCCUACGGGAGGCAGCAGUGGGGAAUAUAGGACAAUGGGCGAAGGCCUGAUCCAGCCAUGCCGCGUGUGUGAAGAAGGUCUUCGGAUUGUAAAGCACUUUAAGUUGGGAGGAAGGGCAGUAAGUUAAUACCUUGCUGUUUUGACGUUACCAACAGAAUAAGCACCGGCUAACUUCGUG
RNAcentral lists this ribosomal RNA (484 nucleotides) under uncultured bacterium. RNAcentral describes it as "partial 16S ribosomal RNA". It matches the Rfam family "Bacterial small subunit ribosomal RNA", at positions 30 to 507 of the family's 1533-position model. The record is from RNAcentral.